RNAcentral lists this long non-coding RNA (767 nucleotides) under Mytilus galloprovincialis (Mediterranean mussel). Lineage: Eukaryota; Metazoa; Mollusca; Bivalvia; Mytilida; Mytilidae. The record is from RNAcentral.
GUUAAACAUUAAAUUUAAGUAAUAUUCAGACAUUAUAUUUAUGGUUAACUUAUACCCAAAAAUACAUGAAAAUACUCUCUCUGGUAUAAAUGAUAUGAAUAGUAACACCUGAUUGGUUUGUCAUUUAUGAUCAUAUGGUGAAUAUAUUACACAUUGAAUAUAUCUUACCUUUCCCCCCUACAACACCUCUGUAGUCUUAAUCAAGAAUUUUGAAUUCUAUAUAUAAAUACCAUCUUUCCUUUCCAUUAUUGAUUUUGCUUUUGAUAGACAACUUAUUUCUGCUUUGUUUGCCGUCUUAUUAUAUAACUAGAAUGAUCAGUAUUAGAAAUGGGUAUUCUUCUGACUUUUUGUCCAAAAAUUAGAAAGCCACAGUAGGUGAAAAUGAGUAGACAUGUUGAAUAAUUUUUGUUUUACUUAAAAUGUAUAUGUAUCAAGUGCUUAUUUUGCUUACAUUAAGUGCUCCCUUGUAAUAUCUACCUUAAAUGUUCAAUUCUGAGCUUACGUCAGUAAACUUUACACUGCCAUUUACAUUUUUGAAAGAGUUUUCAGUACUGGAUUUGAUUGUAACACAGUGAUUCAAACUAUUAAAUAGUGAAAGACAAACAAGAAGAUUUUUAUGUUAAUCUUGUAUUGAACAGCAUUAUAAAACUAGUUAUUGCAUAAUUGUAAGCAAAGAUGGAUGGUGCUUUUUUUUUAUAAAGAAUAUGAAAGUCUUUGCAAAACAAUUCAAACUUAGUGUGUAAUUGUUAUUCUUAAAUAAAUGUUAU